RNAcentral lists this long non-coding RNA (1028 nucleotides) under Homo sapiens (human). RNAcentral describes it as "long intergenic non-protein coding RNA 882". Lineage: Eukaryota; Metazoa; Chordata; Mammalia; Primates; Hominidae. The record is from RNAcentral.
GUGCGAGUGCGCCCUUCUCGGGUCCCCUAGGUCGCGGGGCAGCCGGGGCGGAAGGGGCUUGUUCAUUAUUUUGAGAGUUUGUUGUGAACGUCAUAACCUUUCGUCCUUAAAUAUUGCCGAUACUUGACCUACGCAAGAGACAAUGUCAUGUGAUUCAGCCUAAUAUCUCAGUAUUUUGUAGCAGCAAUGGUGUGCCCGUGCAGGAGGGGACCCCUUAACUACAGUACUUGACAUGACCUGGGUAAAGGGCAUAUUCAGCAGGAGGAUGCAGCAUUCAAGGUUCUAUCUUGGAAGCAGAGACUGUGCCCUCACCAGAUGCUGAACCUGCUGAGCACCCUGAUCUUCCACUUCACCUUCAUCAGAACUACUGGGGCUGUGGCUGAGAUGUCACAUGGCAGAUAGGAUCACAAAUUUCUGUUGUAUCUGGAUGGAGAUCAGCAGGAGGAUCUAUGGGUGAGAAGAAGCACAGUUACAGAUGGAUUCUAGAGCCUGCUUGCUGACACAGGCUUGCAACUGCGGACUUUAUAAGCUUAGUUUUUAAUCUGCUAUCAGCUAGCAUAAUACCAUAAAUGCAUAAGAAACUAAGUAUUCAGUCUUACGAGAAAUGCUAUCUUGACCUGACCCUUUCUCCAAAUAAAUUGACAAAAUAUCUCAUCGUCUAGGAUGCCAGACAGAAAUACCAGUUGCAAUGUUUUGUUGCAUAAAGUUUAUCCUAAUUUAAAUUAGUGGCAUAUAAAGUCAUCAUCUUGCUUGAACAAACAUCUUAUUAAAUUGAGCAUGUCUUUUAUCCCAUGAAAUGAAAUUAAUUUUGAGAUAGUUAUUUUUCAGUUGGAAAUUUAUUGAGUUGAUAGAAAACAAGUUAUAUAGUCUUCCAAAGAAUAUGUUACAUCCAUUUGCAUUUUGUUUUUCUUCAGCAAUGUUUGGUUUUUAGAAAAUCUUACAAGUUAAAUAUACUAAUGUAGAAAUUGAAAGAAAAUAAUCAGAGAUAGAGCAAUAAAUUUGCAAAUAAAGAUUAUUCUUAAAACAAA